GAUGAACGCUGGCGGCGUGCCUAAUACAUGCAAGUCGAGCGAACAGAUAAGGAGCUUGCUCCUUUGACGUUAGCGGCGGACGGGUGAGUAACACGUGGGUAACCUACCUAUAAGACUGGGAUAACUUCGGGAAACCGGAGCUAAUACCGGAUAAUAUUUCGAACCGCAUGGUUCGAUAGUGAAAGAUGGUUUUGCUAUCACUUAUAGAUGGACCCGCGCCGUAUUAGCUAGUUGGUAAGGUAACGGCUUACCAAGGCGACGAUACGUAGCCGACCUGAGAGGGUGAUCGGUCACACUGGAACUGAGACACGGUCCAGACCCCUACGGGAGGCAGCAGUAGGGAAUCUUCCGCAAAGGGCGAAAGCCUGACGGAGCAACGCCGCGUGAGUGAUGAAGGUCUUCGGAUCGUAAAACUCUGUUAUUAGGGAAGAACAUACGUGUAAGUAACUGUGCACGUCUUGACGGUACCUAAUCAGAAAGCCACGGCUAACUACGUG
RNAcentral lists this ribosomal RNA (497 nucleotides) under uncultured bacterium. RNAcentral's name for it is "partial 16S ribosomal RNA". It matches the Rfam family "Bacterial small subunit ribosomal RNA", at positions 28 to 507 of the family's 1533-position model. The record is from RNAcentral.